GAUACCGUAACUUCGGGAGAAGGUAUACCCCGGUAGUGUGAAGCGCCUGCGCGCUUAGCAUGAUGGGGUCGCAGAGAAUCGGUGGCUGCGACUGUUUAUUAAAAAACACAGCACUCUGCAAAGACGAAAGUCGACGUAUAGGGUGUGACGCCUGCCCGGUGCCGGAAGGUUAAGUGAUGGGGUGCAAGCUCUUGAUCGAAGCCCCGGUAAACGGCGGCCGUAACUAUAACGGUCCUAAGGUAGCGAAAUUCCUUGUCGGGUAAGUUCCGACCUGCACGAAUGGCGUAACGAUGGCCACACUGUCUCCUCCUGAGACUCAGCGAAGUUGAAGUGUUUGUGAUGAUGCAAUCUACCCGCGGCUAGACGGAAAGACCCCAUGAACCUUUACUGUAGCUUUGCAUUGAUCUGUGAACCGGCCUGUGUAGGAUAGGUGGGAGGCUUUGAAGCGUGGUCGCUAGAUCACGUGGAGCCAUCCUUGAAAUACCACCCUGGUUUGUUUGCGGUUCUAACCUUGGUCCGUUAUCCGGAUCGGGGACAGUGCAUGGUGGGCAGUUUGACUGGGGCGGUCUCCUCCCAAAGUGUAACGGAGGAGUUCGAAGGUACGCUAGGUACGGUCGGAAAUCGUGCUGAUAGUGCAAUGGCAUAAGCGUGCUUGACUGUGAGACUGACAAGUCGAACAGGUGCGAAAGCAGGACAUAGUGAUCCGGUGGUUCUGAAUGGAAGGGCCAUCGCUCAACGGAUAAAAGGUACUCUGGGGAUAACAGGCUGAUACCGCCCAAGAGUUCAUAUCGACGGCGGUGUUUGGCACCUCGAUGUCGGCUCAUCUCAUCCUGGGGCUGUAGCCGGUCCCAAGGGUAUGGCUGUUCGCCAUUUAAAGAGGUACGUGAGCUGGGUUUAAAACGUCGUGAGACAGUUUGGUCCCUAUCUGCCGUGGGCGUUGGAUACUUGACGGAGCCUGCUCCUAGUACGAGAGGACCGGAGUGGACGUACCUCUGGUGUACCGGUUGUCAUGCCAAUGGCAUUGCCGGGUAGCUAAGUACGGAAGAGAUAACCGCUGAAGGCAUCUAAGCGGGAAACUCGUCUGAAGAUUAGGUAUCCCGGGGACUUGAUCCCCCUAAAGAGUCGUUCGAGACCAGGACGUUGAUAGGUCGGGUGUGGAAGCGCAGUAAUGCGUUAAGCUAACCGAUACUAAUUGCUCGUGAGGCUUGAUCCU
RNAcentral lists this ribosomal RNA (1213 nucleotides) under Achromobacter denitrificans. RNAcentral describes it as "bacterial LSU rRNA". It matches the Rfam family "Bacterial large subunit ribosomal RNA", at positions 1724 to 2925 of the family's 2925-position model. Lineage: Bacteria; Pseudomonadati; Pseudomonadota; Betaproteobacteria; Burkholderiales; Alcaligenaceae. The record is from RNAcentral.